CGAAAGGGGCGGUAAUACCAGAUAAUGUCCUUCGGGACCAAAGAUUUAUCGGCAUUGGAGCGGGCUAUCUCCUAUCAGCUUGUUGGUGAGGUAACGGCUCACCAAUGCAACGACGGGUAGCGGGACUGAGAGGUUGGCCCGCCACAUCGGGACUGAGACACUGCCCGGACCUCCACGGAGGGCUGCAGUAACGGAUAUUGGGCAAUGGGCGAAAGCCUGACCCAGCAAUGCCGCGUGCAGGAUGAAGCCCCUAGGGGUGUAAACUGCUGUCAGGGGUCAGAAAGCUGGUUUCGGCCAGUUGAUCAACCCCAGAGGAAGUCACGGCUAACUUCGUGCCAGCAGCCGCGGUAAUACGAAGGUGGCAAGCGUUAUUCGGAAUCAUUGGGCUUAAAGGGCACGCAGGCGGAACAGUGUGUGUUGUGUGAAAUCCCCCGGCUUAACCGGGGAAUUGCACAGCAAACUGCUGUUCUUGAGGCAGGUAGGGGUGCAUGGAACUCUUGGUGGAGCGGUGGAAUGCGUAGAUAUCAAGAGGAACGCCAGAGGUGAAGACGGUGCACUGGGCCUGUCCUGACGCUGAGGUGCGAAAGCGUGGGGAGCGAACGGGAUUAGAUACCCCGGUAGUCCACGCCGCAAACGAUGUCUACUAGGUCGUGGGUGUUCUGACACAUUCACGGCCGGAGCAAAAGUGUUUAGUAGNCCGCCUGGGGAGUACGGCCGCAAGGUUAAAACUCAAAUGAAUUGACGGGGGCUCACACAAGCGGUGGAGCAUGUGGAUUAAUUCGAAGCUACGCGCAGAACCUUACCUGGGUUUGACAUGCUUGUAUGCCUUCUCUGAAAGGAGUUAGGCUGCCUUCGGGUGAAACUUGCACAGGUGCUGCAUGGCUGUCGUCAGCUCGUGUCGUGAGAUGUCGGGUUAAGUCCUUUAACGAGCGAAACCCUUGCCGUUAGUUGCCAGCGAGUAAUGUCGGGGACUCUAACGGGACUGCCGGUGUUAAACCGGAGGAAGGUGGGGAUGACGUCAAGUCCUCAUGGCCUUUAUGCCCAGGGCUUCACACGUGCUACAAUGGCAAUUACAGAGCGACGCGAUACCGCGAGGUGGAGCAAAUCGCAAAAAAAUUGCCUCAGUUCGGAUUGCAGGCUGGCAAUUCGCAUGCAUGAAGUCGGAAUCGCUAGUAAUCGCGUAUCAGCA
Molecule: ribosomal RNA, 1189 nt
Filed under: uncultured organism
Description: bacterial SSU rRNA
Rfam family: Bacterial small subunit ribosomal RNA
Source: RNAcentral